RNAcentral lists this ribosomal RNA (442 nucleotides) under uncultured bacterium. RNAcentral's name for it is "partial 16S ribosomal RNA". It matches the Rfam family "Bacterial small subunit ribosomal RNA", at positions 338 to 795 of the family's 1533-position model. The record is from RNAcentral.
CCUACGGGUGGCAGCAGUGGGGAAUAUUGGGCAAUGGGCGCAAGCCUGACCCAGCAACGCCGCGUGAAGGAAGAAGGCUUUCGGGUUGUAAACUUCUUUUGUCAGGGAAGAGUAGAAGACGGUACCUGACGAAUAAGCCACGGCUAACUACGUGCCAGCAGCCGCGGUAAUACGUAGGUGGCAAGCGUUGUCCGGAUUUACUGGGUGUAAAGGGCGUGUAGCCGGGUUGACAAGUCAGAUGUGAAAUCCUGCGGCUUAACCGCAGAACUGCAUUUGAAACUGUUGAUCUAGAGUACUGGAGGGGCAGACGGAAUGCAGGGGGGAGCGGUGAAAGGCGGAGAUAUUGGGAGGAACACCAGGGGCGAAGGCGGUCUGAUGGACAGCAACUGACGGUGAGGCGCGAAGGCGUGGGGAGCAAAAGGGAUUAGAUACCCUGGUAGUC